RNAcentral lists this ribosomal RNA (252 nucleotides) under uncultured bacterium. RNAcentral describes it as "partial 16S ribosomal RNA". It matches the Rfam family "Bacterial small subunit ribosomal RNA", at positions 524 to 776 of the family's 1533-position model. The record is from RNAcentral.
UACGAAGGGGGCGAGCGUUGUUCGGAUUUACUGGGCGUAAAGGGCGCGUAGGCGCCUUGUCAGUCAGGCGUGAAAGCCCCGGGCUCAACCUGGGAACGGCGCUUGGGACGGCGAGGCUGGAGUUCGGGAGAGGAGAGUGGAAUUCCCAGUGUAGAGGUGAAAUUCGUAGAUAUUGGGAAGAACACCGGUGGCGAAGGCGGCUCUCUGGACCGACACUGACGCUCAUGCACGAAAGCGUGGGGAGCAAACAGG